RNAcentral lists this ribosomal RNA (305 nucleotides) under uncultured bacterium. RNAcentral describes it as "bacterial SSU rRNA". It matches the Rfam family "Bacterial small subunit ribosomal RNA", at positions 338 to 660 of the family's 1533-position model. The record is from RNAcentral.
CCUACGGGAGGCAGCAGUGGGGAAUAUUGCACAAUGGGGGAAACCCUGAUGCAGCGACGCCGCGUGAGUGAAGAAGUAAUUCGUUAUGUAAAGCUCUAUCAGCAGGGAAGAAAAUGACGGUACCUGAGUAAGAAGCCCCGGCUAACUACGUGCCAGCAGCCGCGGUAAUACGUAGGGGGCAAGCGUUAUCCGGAUUUACUGGGUGUAAAGGGAGCGUAGACGGCAGGGCAAGUCUGGAGUGAAAGCCCGGGGCCCAACCCCGGGACUGCUUUGGAAACUGCCAUGCUGGAGUGCUGGAGAGGUAA